UCGCCGCGUCAAGGGGCUGGAAUGAGGGGAAUCCGCGUGCGGAGGGGUCCGGCGGGCUUCACCCGUCCCGAGUGGCGCAGUCGCAUUCCUAGGAUGCCCGCUGGCGCCCCCGCAGUCACCGCCCCGCAUCGGAAGGAGGGCGCGUCACCGCCGCCCUGUGGGCCUUAGGCCAGCCACAGUCCUGGCAACCUCUCCUGGCCUGCUCCAACUCUCUGGACAGAAGCGUGAGUCCAGAGAGGGGAAGUGAAGUGGAGAACCGAGGGUAUGAGGGACACCGCCAUGCCAGGCGCUUCCUGCGUUCUGAGCUUAUGUCAGUGCGCGGCGCCACACCGUCCUGACAGCCGGUAAUCAUGACCCUGCAUUCCAGGCCCGUCCUCUUCUCUCCAUCCCUUCCACCAGUCGCCAUCUCCUAAGAACCUCACUCCUGCCUCCAUCCUGCUUCUCUUUCGGACCAACAUGAACAGCCCUCUAACUGUUCUCCACGUCUUCCUCUCACCAAUCAAAGAUCCGGUAUCGGCCUGUGGCACUUAUAAAUGCAAAUCUGACAGUUAACAUCUCAAGUCAACGGAGGGAGGUUUACACCGCAAAGCCCCCAGGUGCAAAGCCUGCCCUCACUCUCACAGCUUCCUGUCAAGCCCUUGCGAAUGGACUCGGUUUACUCCACCGCUCCUGUAAGAAUCUAUGACUGCACUGGUAGUCCCCUUCAACCCCCUUCAACCCCUUCUUUCUCCACACUUCCCCCACUGGUACAACCACCACACACAGUCAGGAGGUGUUGCCAACCACCAACCACAUGGAACUUCGUGCGUCUGUGGCUUUGCACCUACAGCUCACUCGGCCUCCCCACCUCACAGUCAUCCCUGAAGAAUCAGCUCAGACAUCCCCUUCUCCACAACAUCUUCCUAAUUUCCGCUAACACACAACCUCCUCCUCACCAAAUCAAGUACUAAACGUCCGUUUCCUUGUUAGACUCUGCCGGGAGACGGCUCCGGUCUUAGCAAGCACUGAGCUAGGCAUUCGCUGGAGAUUCAAUAACCCCCCUCCCCCAAUGGUGGGCGCCUGCAUGAAUGAAUGAAUCUCAGAGGCCAGGAGUGUAAGCAAGAGGCUGGCGCGUGCGGAACAGAAUAAAACAGUGGGCCAGCCA
This is a long non-coding RNA of Arvicola amphibius (Eurasian water vole), 1144 nucleotides long. RefSeq lists it as uncharacterized. The transcript is spliced from 2 exons. NCBI's taxonomy places the organism in Eukaryota, Metazoa, Chordata, Mammalia, Rodentia, Cricetidae. The record is from RefSeq and is a predicted model, not a curated record.